AUGAGCAACUGGACAACAGGGAGGAGCCUGGUGGAGGGUCCUGCUGGUGGAGGGCGGAGGAGGAGGGGCCUGCUGCUGGCGACGGGGACGAGCAGCUGGACGACAGGGAGGAGCCUGACGGAGGCUCCUACUGGUGGAGGGUGGAGGAGGAGGAGGAGGAUGGGCUUGCUCCUGGUCUGGACGAUCAGCUGGAGGAGGAGGAGGGGCUUGCUGCUGGCCUGGAUGCGCUGCCCUGGAGGAAGACAACGAGGAAGACGACGAUCUGAUUUCAAGUUAGGGGUAGUUCUGUACUUUCGUUCAUUUUCACCUGGUUGGAGAUUUCUCCCAGCGACAAUUAUUUCGGAACGGAGGAAGUAUUAUCGAUCCCCCGAUCGUUAUUGUACACGGAUGCAGAAUAUCUGCUCGUGA
RNAcentral lists this ribosomal RNA (408 nucleotides) under Triticum aestivum (bread wheat). RNAcentral describes it as "partial small subunit ribosomal RNA". Lineage: Eukaryota; Viridiplantae; Streptophyta; Magnoliopsida; Poales; Poaceae. The record is from RNAcentral.